GACGAACGCUGGCGGCGUGCUUAACACAUGCAAGUCGAACGGAAAGGCCCUGCUUUUGUGGGGUGCUCGAGUGGCGAACGGGUGAGUAACACGUGAGUAACCUGCCCUUGACUUUGGGAUAACUUCAGGAAACUGGGGCUAAUACCGGAUAGGAGCUCCUGCUGCAUGGUGGGGGUUGGAAAGUUUCGGCGGUUGGGGAUGGACUCGCGGCUUAUCAGCUUGUUGGUGGGGUAGUGGCUUACCAAGGCUUUGACGGGUAGCCGGCCUGAGAGGGUGACCGGCCACAUUGGGACUGAGAUACGGCCCAGACUCCUACGGGAGGCAGCAGUGGGGAAUAUUGCACAAUGGGCGGAAGCCUGAUGCAGCAACGCCGCGUGCGGGAUGACGGCCUUCGGAUUGUAAACCGCUUUCGCCUGUGACGAAGCGUGAGUGACGGUAAUGGGUAAAGAAGCACCGGCUAACUACGUGCCAGCAGCCGCGGUGAUACGUAGGGUGCGAGCGUUGUCCGGAUUUAUUGGGCGUAAAGGGCUCGUAGGUGGUUGAUCGCGUCGGAAGUGUAAUCUUGGGGCUUAACCCUGAGCGUGCUUUCGAUACGGGUUGACUUGAGGAAGGUAGGGGAGAAUGGAAUUCCUGGUGGAGCGGUGGAAUGCGCAGAUAUCAGGAGGAACACCAGUGGCGAAGGCGGUUCUCUGGGCCUUUCCUGACGCUGAGGAGCGAAAGCGUGGGGAGCGAACAGGCUUAGAUACCCUGGUAGUCCACGCUGUAAACGGUGGGUACUAGGUGUGGGGUCCAUUCCACGGGUUCCGUGCCGUAGCUAACGCUUUAAGUACCCCGCCUGGGGAGUACGGCCGCAAGGCUAAAACUCAAAGGAAUUGACGGGGCCCCGCACAAGCGGCGGAGCAUGCGGAUUAAUUCGAUGCAACGCGUAGAACCUUACCUGGGUUUGACAUGGAUCGGGAGCGCUCAGAGAUGGGUGUGCCUCUUUUGGGGUCGGUUCACAGGUGGUGCAUGGCUGUCGUCAGCUCGUGUCGUGAGAUGUUGGGUUAAGUCCCGCAACGAGCGCAACCCUUGUUCACUGUUGCCAGCACGUUAUGGUGGGGACUCAGUGGAGACCGCCGGGGUCAACUCGGAGGAAGGUGGGGAUGACGUCAAGUCAUCAUGCCCCUUAUGUCCAGGGCUUCACGCAUGCUACAAUGGCUGGUACAGAGAGUGGCGAGCCUGUGAGGGUGAGCGAAUCUCGGAAAGCCGGUCUCAGUUCGGAUUGGGGUCUGCAACUCGACCUCAUGAAGUCGGAGUCGCUAGUAAUCGCAGAUCAGCAACGCUGCGGUGAAUACGUUCCCGGGGCU
This 1346-nucleotide ribosomal RNA is filed under the name uncultured bacterium. RNAcentral's name for it is "bacterial SSU rRNA". It matches the Rfam family "Bacterial small subunit ribosomal RNA", at positions 28 to 1381 of the family's 1533-position model. The record is from RNAcentral.